UUUUAAUAUGGCAGAAUAGUGCAAUGAACUUAAACUUCAUAUAUAAAGAAAUUCUUUUGUUAAAAA
Molecule: transfer RNA, 66 nt
Filed under: Dolichoderus sibiricus
Lineage: Eukaryota; Metazoa; Arthropoda; Insecta; Hymenoptera; Formicidae
Description: tRNA-Leu
Source: RNAcentral